RNAcentral lists this ribosomal RNA (497 nucleotides) under uncultured bacterium. RNAcentral describes it as "partial 16S ribosomal RNA". It matches the Rfam family "Bacterial small subunit ribosomal RNA", at positions 28 to 507 of the family's 1533-position model. The record is from RNAcentral.
GAUGAACGCUGGCGGCGUGCCUAAUACAUGCAAGUCGAGCGAACGGACGAGAAGCUUGCUUCUCUGAUGUUAGCGGCGGACGGGUGAGUAACACGUGGAUAACCUACCUAUAAGACUGGGAUAACUUCGGGAAACCGGAGCUAAUACCGGAUAAUAUUUUGAACCGCAUGGUUCAAAAGUGAAAGACGGUCUUGCUGUCACUUAUAGAUGGAUCCGCGCUGCAUUAGCUAGUUGGUAAGGUAACGGCUUACCAAGGCAACGAUGCAUAGCCGACCUGAGAGGGUGAUCGGCCACACUGGAACUGAGACACGGUCCAGACUCCUACGGGAGGCAGCAGUAUGGAAUCUUCCGCAAUGGGCGAAAGCCUGACAGAGCAACGCCGCGUGAGUGAUGAAGGUCUUCGGAUCGUAAAACUCUGUUAUUAGGGAAGAACAUAUGUGUAAGUAACUGUGCACAUCUUGACGGUACCUAAUCAGAAAGCCACGGCUAACUACGUG